This 2804-nucleotide small RNA is filed under the name Cryptococcus neoformans H99. RNAcentral's name for it is "Cryptococcus neoformans var. grubii H99 hypothetical RNA". The record is from RNAcentral. Lineage: Eukaryota; Fungi; Basidiomycota; Tremellomycetes; Tremellales; Cryptococcaceae.
GCGCAAAAUACUAGCUGGUAUCAAAUGACCUUAAAAAUGGCAAAUAAAAGUUAAAACUGAGUGAAUGGUCAAUCUCCAGAUUUUGGCAGUGUCGGAUUCCUCUCACAGGUACAGGUGAGCAUCAAGCUUUAGAAGCACUAUCCUCAGCUAUUCGCAUGAACUCUUCUGGUGUGAGGAAAUCAAUCUAUGAAGAUAUCAAUCAACUGGUCAAUUAUCACGCCUUCCGCAUCCUGUAUCGUCGCAGAUAACGCGACCUGAGUCCAUAUGGAUUGAUCUUUCCUCUCAAAGUAGCCUGGUUUUACCAAGCGGCAGAGGUCGGCGAGGUCUUUGAAACUGCUGACUUUGGUAACUUGUUGGAGCCAUUGAAACCAAGCGUGGCAUGCUUCAUAAUCGUAAGAGGCAGGAGGGUUGCAGCUGACUGUGAGGCCAUUACCGUUAGGCUGGGGUGCGUCUGCGAGAAAUAGUUGACCGAAUCCUCCGUCGAGGGUAAGGUAGGCAAUGAGGAUUGCAAAGGAUUCCAUCGCAUCGGGACAUAGACUAGAAGCAAUAAUCACCGGUGGUGCCAGAUACGCUCCCCAAUUGGGCAUCUUCUUCAAAGUUUCCAUAACCUUUUCAAACAAUUUCGGCUCCUCAAGAAUAAGAGACGGUGCAAAAGUGAUUAUUCCCCCUUGCGACUUGACAGGACAUAAGGUAGGAAAUGGACGAUGCUGCUCAAGUGUGGCAGAGGUGGGAGUCGGUAGACUAUUGAAAACCUCCGUAGGACUAUCUUGCCUGAUUUGACGAAGGCGAAGCAGGGUGUCAAGAUUGUAGAUGAUAUCAUGGUUGAUGCGAUUGACUGUAGCAUGUACGACCUGUGAAGGAGUCGAAGAAUAAGUUGCAGUUGGUUGGAGCGCAACUGUGGGGGAGGGUUCGAUAAUUUGGUGAGGGGUAGGCAGAGGGGUUGUUUUGGUGGACGAUUGGCUGGGCGCUUGUGUAGGUUUUUGAGUCGAUGACUGCACAGAUAGUUGGGAUUUAGGCUGCGUAGGACGUUGAGAGGCAGGUCGAGAAGCAGCUUGCACAACUGGGGUAAUCGAUCGAGGUUGGGACUGAUCAGCAGAGGGUUGUGCUGCGCCAUUAGCUGCCUGACGGGUUGCUUCAUUGUUCGCACGUUCAUCCGGUGCCGAUGUCAUUUGUCUCACGGCUGCAGAAGCCAACGAUGGAAUUAGCGUCGAAUCUGAUGGCUGAGCAAGUGGAUGGCCAGAUGUCUGAAUAGCAGGUGAAGCCAGAGGUUGAAUAGGUGCUGGGGCAGUUACCUGAGCGAGCCGUUGGGCUUCAGGUGCGGGCUGCCUGGGCUGGUAAGAUUGAGAAAUCCGUGAAGCCAUCGGUAGUUUCUGAGUGGGUUGAGUUUGGGGAAAUGCAGCUUUUUCUCUCUCUGCCUUCUCCUCCUCCGCCCGUUUCUUUGCAAUCUUUUCUCGUUCCGUCUUCUCUUUAUCUGCCUUCGCCUUCUGUAUCCCCCGCAUUUUCGUCAUUUUCUCUGUUGCGUAGAUCCGAUCUUUCUCCUGCUGUCCCUUCCGCUUCUCCUCUUUCCCUUGCUUUUGUAAUCGCUCCAUCUCUAGACGUUCUUUCUCCAACCGAGAUUCCUGAGCAGGUUGUACUAUGCUGUCAUCUUCGGGCAUCGACGAUCCCAGAUGCAAACCCAAGGACGUUUGUGAUGUUUGUUGGAUUGAUGCUUGAUCUGCGUCUGCGGGAAGCGAUACAAAUGUACGUUCAGGCACUUCAUCAAUUCUCUCGAAUGGACGAGUAAAUACUGAGUCUUCGUGAUCCGGACGUGGAGUAAAGAGUGGUUCUUCAUUAUCUUCUUGAGCAUUUAUGGUAGGCGCAGGCGUGGGACCAACGACUGUGGAGCUGUCAUGUGUGGCGCCAGGCAGGACUCGAGUUGAUGCAUUGCCCUGUGCCGGAACCGCAGUAACAGCAGUAGCUAUUUCCGGGGGAACGACACUGGAAGAAGCCGCGUUGAAGCCGUCUUCAUCUUGCAAAGAGCGUCUAGGCCUGGUACGAUUUCAUAUGUAAGUUUUUAAACUUUGCCUAACGAUGCCAACUUACACUUUUUUCCCACUCCCACUAUUCUCUCCACCCUUCGGCCGUUUAGGACUUCGUUGAGGGGAGAAUCCCUCAUUUGUCCUAUGAGAUAUCCCGAUCAGUCCGUUGCUUGGGUUAACUGCGUUUGAACGUACCUCGAAGCACCCGCACGAUGAUAUGCUUCGGACGACCUACUAUCCAAACUUUUCCUCGCCACUGUCGGUGACGUCGACCUCGCAUUCGUUGACACACUCACAGUCCUUCUUUCCCCGCUAUUAGUUCUAUUUCGAGGAUCCGUCGAAGACUGUCUGCUCUGCGAUGAAACUAUGUCUUGUGGAGAUUGCCUCUGCAACAUAGCAGUCAACAGCCUCGUAGCACCGGUGAGAUUCUCCUCAUCUAGCUUCCUCCUCUGAGCCUUAGUGAAUUCCUUAGGCCUCUGUGGCCCUGGAGCUUGAGGCGAUAAGUGUGCUUGAGCAGCAGUGUCCACAUCGUCUAUUGUCUUGAUAAGCUUCGGUUGCUCAUAUUUUUUCCUCAUGGUGGUAGCAAUAUUUGUUGGAUGGGUUGGCGCGUUCUGCCCAGCGCCGGUUGGAAUCGCUGGCGAAGAAGGGAGAUCGCUAGCGAUAUCAGGUGGUGAGGAGGAGGUAAAAUCAAUAGGUUCUUGCAAUGAAGAGACGGAUAUCUGCCGGGAUACGUUGCUAGAUUGAUUGUGAAUCAGAGUAUGACGGUUCGAAAGCAUUGUAGACGAU